CGUGAAAAAAUUAGAGUGUUCAAAGCAGGCAGAUCCAAUUUUCUGCCACCGAAUACAUUAGCAUGGGAUAAUGGAAUAGGACCCUGUCCUCCUAUUUUCAGUUGGUUUGCCGCGAGGACCAGGGUAAUGAUUAAUAGGGAUAGUUGGGGGCAUUAAUAUUUAAUUGUCAGAGGUGAAAUUCUUGGAUUUAUGAAAGAUUAACUUCUGCGAAAGCAUCUGCCAAGGAUGUUUUCAUUAAUCAAGAACGAAAGUUAGGGGAUCGAAGACGAUCAGAUACCGUCGUAGUCUUAACCAUAAACGAUGCCGACCAGCGAUUAGGAGACGUUGAAUACAAAACACCACCAUGCGAUUGCGGUCGUCUUUGGUGUCGCUCACAAGGCGGCAUCGGGACGGCUUAGCUCGCAUGGCACCGGUGAAUGACUCCC
Molecule: ribosomal RNA, 425 nt
Filed under: Acanthamoeba griffini
Lineage: Eukaryota; Discosea; Longamoebia; Acanthamoebidae
Description: SSU rRNA
Rfam family: Eukaryotic small subunit ribosomal RNA (bases 1-370)
Source: RNAcentral